This 527-nucleotide ribosomal RNA is filed under the name Naganishia albida. RNAcentral describes it as "partial large subunit ribosomal RNA". It matches the Rfam family "Eukaryotic large subunit ribosomal RNA", at positions 54 to 603 of the family's 3401-position model. The record is from RNAcentral. Lineage: Eukaryota; Fungi; Basidiomycota; Tremellomycetes; Filobasidiales; Filobasidiaceae.
AGGAAAAGAAACUAACAAGGAUUCCCCUAGUAACGGCGAGUGAAGCGGGAAGAGCUCAAAUUUGAAAUCUGGUAGCCUUCGGUUGCCCGAGUUGUAAUCUAGAGAAGUGUUUUCCGUGCCGGCCCAUGUACAAGUCCCUUGGAACAGGGCGUCAUAGAGGGUGAGAAUCCCGUCCUUGACAUGGACCCCCGGUGCUUUGUGAUACACUUUCAACGAGUCGAGUUGUUUGGGAAUGCAGCUCAAAAUGGGUGGUGAAUUCCAUCUAAAGCUAAAUAUUGGCGAGAGACCGAUAGCGAACAAGUACCGUGAGGGAAAGAUGAAAAGCACUUUGGAAAGAGAGUUAAACAGUACGUGAAAUUGUUGAAAGGGAAACGAUUGAAGUCAGUCAUGCUCUUGGGACUUACCUCCCUUGAGUGGGGUCAACAUCAGUUUUGAUCGAUGGAUAAAGGCACGGGGAAGGUAGCACUCUCGGGUGAACUUAUAGCCUCGCGUCAUAUACAUUGAUUGGGACUGAGGAACGCAGCAUG